This 429-nucleotide ribosomal RNA is filed under the name Chloroflexota bacterium. Its description in RNAcentral is "Chloroflexi bacterium partial 16S ribosomal RNA". It matches the Rfam family "Bacterial small subunit ribosomal RNA", at positions 355 to 776 of the family's 1533-position model. The record is from RNAcentral. Lineage: Bacteria; Bacillati; Chloroflexota.
UGGGGAAUAUUGCACAAUGGGCGCAAGCCUGAUGCAGCCAUGCCGCGUGUGUGAAGAAGGCCUUCGGGUUGUAAAGCACUUUCAGCGGGGCGGAAGGCGGUGAGGUUAAUAACCUCAUCGAUUGACGUUACCCGCAGAAGAAGCACCGGCUAACUCCGUGCCAGCAGCCGCGGUAAUACGGAGGGUGCAAGCGUUAAUCGGAAUUACUGGGCGUAAAGCGCACGCAGGCGGUCUGUCAAGUCGGAUGUGAAAUCCCCGGGCUCAACCUGGGAAGUGCAUUCGAAACUGGCAGGCUAGAGUCUUGUAGAGGGGGGUAGAAUUCCAGGUGUAGCGGUGAAAUGCGUAGAGAUCUGGAGGAAUACCGGUGGCGAAGGCGGCCCCCUGGACAAAGACUGACGCUCAGGUGCGAAAGCGUGGGGAGCAAACAGG